CCUACGGGAGGCAGCAGUAGGGAAUCUUCCACAAUGGGCGAAAGCCUGAUGGAGCAACGCCGCGUGGGUGAAGAAGGUCUUCGGAUCGUAAAACCCUGUUGUUAGAGAAGAAAGUGCGUGAGAGUAACUGUUCACGUUUCGACGGUAUCUAACCAGAAAGCCACGGCUAACUACGUGCCAGCAGCCGCGGUAAUACGUAGGUGGCAAGCGUUAUCCGGAUUUAUUGGGCGUAAAGGGAACGCAGGCGGUCUUUUAAGUCUGAUGUGAAAGCCUUCGGCUUAACCGGAGUAGUGCAUUGGAAACUGGGAGACGUGAGUGCAGAAGAGGAGAGUGGAACUCCAUGUGUAGCGGUGAAAUGCGUAGAUAUAUGGAAGAACACCAGUGGCGAAAGCUGCACUCUGGUCUGUAACUGACGCUGAGGUUCGAAAGCGUGGGUAGCAAACAGGAUUAGAUACCCUUGUAGUC
Molecule: ribosomal RNA, 465 nt
Filed under: uncultured bacterium
Lineage: Bacteria
Description: partial 16S ribosomal RNA
Rfam family: Bacterial small subunit ribosomal RNA
Source: RNAcentral